GACGAACGCUGACGGCGUGCCUAAUACAUGCAAGUAGAACGCUGAAGGAGGAGCUUGCUUCUCUGGAUGAGUUGCGAACGGGUGAGUAACGCGUAGGUAACCUGCCUGGUAGCGGGGGAUAACUAUUGGAAACGAUAGCUAAUACCGCAUAAUAGUAGAUGUUGCAUGACAUUUGCUUAAAAGGUGCAAUUGCAUCACUACCAGAUGGACCUGCGUUGUAUUAGCUAGUUGGUGGGGUAACGGCUCACCAAGGCGACGAUACAUAGCCGACCUGAGAGGGUGAUCGGCCACACUGGGACUGAGACACGGCCCAGACUCCUACGGGAGGCAGCAGUAGGGAAGCUUCGGCAAUGGACGGAAGUCUGACCGAGCAACGCCGCGUGAGUGAAGAAGGUUUUCGGAUCGUAAAGCUCUGUUGUAAGAGAAGAACGAGUGUGAGAGUGGAAAGUUCACACUGUGACGGUAUCUUACCAGAAAGGGACGGCUAACUACGUG
Molecule: ribosomal RNA, 495 nt
Filed under: uncultured bacterium
Lineage: Bacteria
Description: partial 16S ribosomal RNA
Rfam family: Bacterial small subunit ribosomal RNA
Source: RNAcentral